Asparagus officinalis (garden asparagus) is the source of this 777-nucleotide long non-coding RNA. RefSeq lists it as uncharacterized. NCBI's taxonomy places the organism in Eukaryota, Viridiplantae, Streptophyta, Magnoliopsida, Asparagales, Asparagaceae. The record is from RefSeq and is a predicted model, not a curated record. The transcript has 4 exons.
AAAAAAAUCUUUUUAAUAUUCAAUGACACCAUUUCUUUAACUUCCAAAAUCAUUAAGCAUUCAUCGAUCUCAGAAAUAAUCUAGACAAACCCCAAAUCGUCUCUUCGUCUCCCUCAAUCCCACCCUCUUUUUGAAAUCCCUCAAUCUAAGCCUCAUUUUCAAUUGAAAUCCCCUAAAUCUCUUCGUCUCCCCUCAAUCUAAGGCUCAUUUUCGAUUAGGUCUCAACAGAGCCAGAAGCUCCUGCUACGCCGCCAUUGACGGCAACCGAGGCCCCGAAAGAUGUGGCGGAUGAGAAGGAAGUGAUCCCAUCUCCGGCGACACCAUCGCCUCCGGCCAAAGAGAAGGCUGAUGACUCCAAAGCACUUGUUGUUGUUGAGACAAUAACAGUCGUUAAUCCAACCGAUUUGGUGAAAGUACGACUUCAAGCUGAAGGCAAGCUUCUAGCGGGUGUACCAAGACGUUAUUCAGGAGCUCUGAAUGCUUACUCUACUAUAGUCAAACAGACCAUAUUGAAAAUUCCCGGCUUCUCUGACAAUGUCUUUACCCAUCUUUUAUCUGGUCUUGGGGAUGGCUUCUUUACAGUCUGUAUUGGUUCCCUUGUUGAUGUGGUGACGAAGACCGAGGGCCAAAAAGAGGCUUAGAUUGAGGGAUUUCUCACACCGUUCUGUUCUCCCUCUUUGAAAAUUUUUUCUGCUCUCAUUAUUAUUCUUGAGAAUCCUAAUUUGGUGCAGGAUGAGGCGAUAGAGCUCUUGAAGGAUUUUGAGAGAGCAUUACAAG